RNAcentral lists this ribosomal RNA (299 nucleotides) under Xinidium dewitzi. Its description in RNAcentral is "partial 28S ribosomal RNA". It matches the Rfam family "Eukaryotic large subunit ribosomal RNA", at positions 656 to 921 of the family's 3401-position model. The record is from RNAcentral. Lineage: Eukaryota; Metazoa; Arthropoda; Insecta; Coleoptera; Scarabaeidae.
GAAACACGGACCAAGGAGUCUAGCAUGUGCGCGAGUCAUUGGGACUCUGAUAAACCUAAAGGCSCAAUGAAAGUAAAGGUCCSCCUCSCGCGGACCGAGGGAGGAUGGGCCCGUCCGCGGACGGGCCCCGCACUCCCGGGGCGUCUCGUUCUCAUCGCGAGAAGAGGCGCACCCAGAGCGUACACGCUGGGACCCGAAAGAUGGUGAACUAUGCCUGGUCAGGACGAAGUCAGGGGAAACCCUGAUGGAGGUCCGUAGCGAUUCUGACGUGCAAAUCGAUCGUCGGAACUGGGUAUAGG